Molecule: ribosomal RNA, 253 nt
Filed under: uncultured bacterium
Lineage: Bacteria
Description: partial 16S ribosomal RNA
Rfam family: Bacterial small subunit ribosomal RNA
Source: RNAcentral
UACGUAGGGUGCAAGCGUUAAUCGGAAUUACUGGGCGUAAAGCGUGCGCAGGCGGUGAUGUAAGUCAGAUGUGAAAUCCCCGGGCUCAACCUGGGAACUGCAUUUGUGACUGCAUCGCUGGAGUGCGGCAGAGGGGGAUGGAGUUCCGCGUGUAGCAGUGAAAUGCGUAGAUAUGCGGAGGAACACCGAUGGCGAAGGCAAUCCCCUGGGCCUGCACUGACGCUCAUGCACGAAAGCGUGGGGAGCAAACAGG